GUUCCUACUUUCUGGAUCCAUCUGGUUGCACGUUUGGCGUCUUUAUAUCUUGGUAAUAGAAAAUCUAAACCAAACUGGCUUAAGGAAGAAGGAAAUGCAUCAUUUGGGUUGUUUUGUGAGCCAAUCACAGAAUGCCCGGUGACAAGUGAUGUAAGCAACAAGGACACUUAUUACCUCUUGUGACAAGAUAUCCAGUGGGAGGACUGUUGCAGCUUGGGUUCAGCAAUUUUGUUAAGUCAUCAAGGACCUGGGGUCUUUCUGCCUUGUAAUGUUAAUUUGUUAAUUUUUCCUCAUGUGGCCACAAGAUGGCUGCCUCAUUUUGAAGAACACAGGUGGACAACCUUGGACUACAGGGGAGCAUUUCCUUUCAGUGUCUGUUUUUAAUGUGGAGAAAACGUUUCUGAGAAGACCUUCAGUAGACUUCUCCUUAGUCCUUUCAGUCAGGAUUGCACCAUAUUCCAUGGCACAGCACUUCCUCUUCUUUUGGCAUGAUUGCAUGUCUGUAGGACCACAGCUCCUGUCUGGUGGCCCCUUUUCCAUAGCCUCAACCUUCAUCUGGUUCCAGUAACACUGCUUCUUCGCUCUGACACUUCAGGCCCAGAAAGAGUAAGGUCUUCGCACCACUGUUCAUCCCAGGUACCACUGUUAGUUUCCUACUGUUGCGAAAUACCACAAUCCUGGUCUCCACUUUUUGGCUUUGCUUGCUUGUGCUUUUGGGAAACAACAUCUGCAGUAGAACUCAAAAUAUAAAGAAUGAAAUUUAGGCAUUUUCUGAAUAAAAUUCCAUCUGUCUUGGGCCCUGUUAAGGAUCUUUUAGAAUAUUUUAGGUGUUGUUUUUUUAAAAAGAUGUAUUUAUUUGACAGAG
Long non-coding RNA from Mustela erminea (ermine), 865 nucleotides. RefSeq lists it as uncharacterized. The record is from RefSeq and is a predicted model, not a curated record. The transcript is spliced from 2 exons. NCBI's taxonomy places the organism in Eukaryota, Metazoa, Chordata, Mammalia, Carnivora, Mustelidae.